UCUGACUUGGGGUGUACUGCAGG
Molecule: non-coding RNA, 23 nt
Filed under: Cricetulus griseus (Chinese hamster)
Lineage: Eukaryota; Metazoa; Chordata; Mammalia; Rodentia; Cricetidae
Source: RNAcentral